CAGGUACCCUUUGAUCCUUCUUAGUUUAACCAAAUGAACUAAAGUUUUAAAAUGACACAAUUUUUUGAAAAAUUAGUUCAUUCCUUUAAACUAAGAAGGGUCAAAAGGUACAAUG
Non-coding RNA from Brachypodium distachyon (stiff brome), 115 nucleotides. The record is from Rfam. Lineage: Eukaryota; Viridiplantae; Streptophyta; Magnoliopsida; Poales; Poaceae.